CCUACGGGAGGCAGCAGUGGGGAAUAUUGGGCAAUGGAGGAAACUCUGACCCAGCAAUGCCGCGUGAAUGAAGAAGGUCUUCGGAUUGUAAAGUUCUUUAGUCAGGGAAGAAUAACAUGACGGUCCCUGAAGACUAAGCUCCCGCUACCUACGGGCCACCAGCCGCGUUACUACGUAGGGAGCAAGCGUUGUUCGGAGUGACUGGGCGUAAGGGGUGCGUAGGCGGUAAUACAAGUUCGGGGGGAAAUACCAGGGCUUAACGCGGGUGCUGCCUUUAAAACUGGAAGACUGGAGUGCCGGAGAGGUUAGUGGAAUUCCUAGUGUAGCGGUGGAAUGCGUAGAUAUUAGGAGGAACACCAGAGGCGAAGGCGGCUAACUGGAAUGCAACUGACGCUGAGGCACGAAAGUGUGGGGAGCAAACAGGAUUAGAUACCCGUGUAGUC
This 443-nucleotide ribosomal RNA is filed under the name uncultured bacterium. Its description in RNAcentral is "partial 16S ribosomal RNA". It matches the Rfam family "Bacterial small subunit ribosomal RNA", at positions 338 to 795 of the family's 1533-position model. The record is from RNAcentral.